This 328-nucleotide long non-coding RNA is filed under the name Elaeis guineensis (African oil palm). RNAcentral describes it as "long non-coding RNA (EGUI_LNC009376)". Lineage: Eukaryota; Viridiplantae; Streptophyta; Magnoliopsida; Arecales; Arecaceae. The record is from RNAcentral.
GUAGCCUUAGCUAUAUUAAUCAAUAAAAUUCGAUUACGAUGGUCACGAACAAUCGCAUGAUGAUCUAUAGACCAUCGAUGGGUUUAAAAAUUUAUAAUAAUAAUCUUGAUGAUAUUUAUGAUGUACUAUUAAAAUUUUACUUCAAUCAAAUAUCAUUAUCAUAAUCAAUUUAAAACAGAAUAAUUUCAACUGUUAAAUAAAAUAUGAGUGAUCAAAAAGCUAAAUGAUAUUCGAUUAUAAGAUAAUUUUUUAGAUAAAUAAUUUUUGCUACUAUUUUGAUCAUUUGUAUGGUAGUGAUCAUAAAAUUCAAACCACACGUAUAUGAACG